GCUUGCAUAAUAUAAAUAUGCUUGUAGAAAGUCUUUAAUAGGGAACCAGGUUGUAAUACUAAGUUGUUCUAAGCUUAUAAGGGCUUGAUUUUGGAGGAGUAAUUGGCCAGAAUUAGGGUCUUGGCCUGUAAUAAGAGAAUGGACUUUGUUUGUAAAAUUACAAGGAUUACAUCCUAGUGUUAAUAGAUGUCUGAAUUCAUCUUCAUAUUGAACUUUGUAUUGUUCCCACAUUCCUUUAGUACAUUCUCCUAGGAAGGUUUCUAAAUAUUUAUACAUUUCCUCGGCAUUAUCUGUAUUCAUGUAGUGCUGGUUACGGAUAUAAUCUGCUACAACUAAUCCUUUCCAAAUGUCUAUUAUAGAAUCCCAAGUUUGGGGGUCAUGGGCUGCUAUGUUUAAUAUUUUUCCAGAUCCUGCUUCUUGCAAAUUAUAGAAGAGGUGUUGGUCUGCAAAAGAUUCUUUCUACUAUGCUUCUUGCUCUAGACUUAGGAGCUCUUAAAGAGAUUGUAGAUUCACUAUCUUCGGAUCUAGAAGAAUUAGAUCUAGAAAGUCUGUGUGGUUGAGAAGAUGAUGUAGGAAAUUCCAUAUCUAUUAAUAAUGUGGUGGUAUUGAGAAAAAAUCUAAGAAGAUUCACUAUUAUCAAUAAUGUGGUUGUGUCUAGAAAAGACUUAUCUUCUUUUCUUUUCUCUGUCUUGCUUUAAAAAGGAAAUCGAGGCUGUUGAAUUGUUUGAAAGAAGGAAAUGGUAUAGCUAAGUGAUAAAGCUAAAUGUUUUAAUAUUGGUAUGUAAAAAUAUUUCGUGACCAAGAAAGUAAAGUCUAUAACCAAACCUUUCUAUAACCAAGAAAGUCUUAUAUGAUAAUCUGAAAAAAUGUCUUACUAAAAGUUUAUGACCAAGAAAGUCUUAGCUCUGAUACCAAGGAGGGAGAGGAGAGGGGCUAGGUUUUUAGACUUGGCUAGUUCCAAGUUUAAGGUUUUAGGUUUAGGGUUUAGGGUUUAGAAGAAGGUGCAGAGACGAUUUUAAACACAAACUACAAGUCUUUUAGAAUAAAAACCCUGUGAGAAUUUUAGAAAAUAAAAUCCUAGGAUUUAUAGAGAAAACCCUAGUUUUAUAGAGAAAACCCUAGUCUUUUUAGGAAAACCCUAAGGUAUGUGUGAAAAACAAACCUUUGAAAGAAGCAAAAAACCUAAGGAGGGAUUUUUAAAAUAUUUUUUGGGACUUUUUGAGAUUUUAGGAAAAUGCGGAAAUAUUUAGAGUUGGGUCAGAUUAUGUAAUAUAUUGAAAAUUAAGUCUUAGAAAAUACCGGUUAGAAAAAGUGAGAUGCAGGAUUAUACUGCGUGCGUACGUAUAUAAAAGUACUAUGCAAGUUACUAUGCAAAAAUACUAUGCAGGGCACUAUUCACAUAAGAAUCAUGCAGAAGUACUAUGCAGGGUUACUAUGCAAAUUAGUGGAGGAUGGAAAGAAAGAUUUUUAUAGGAGAGACCGUAUGUCGGCUACUUAGAAGAAGGGUGGCAAAAUACCCGUAAGAUUUUUCCGAAUUUUUUAGUAUUUUUUCUGUCUGGAAAGGUUGCUGUCGAAAAUUAGCAAAGUUACUAUGCACGAUUACUAUGCACACAGUGGCUUCACGUGAAUGGAAUUUUUUUUUUUUUUUUUUUAAACUUUUUAACCUUUUUAACUUAAGUCUUAAACACUCAAAUUAAAGGGUAUUUGUAGGCGAAAACGAUGUCGGUCACUAUUAAAUAUUAAUUUAAUAGGGAUGGAUAGGUGGAUGUCUAGAUGAAAUUGUUUGAUAGAGAGUUCACAGUAAAAAAGGAAAGGGAAGAAAUUAAUAUAUGUCUUGAAGGAUAUUUGAAGUAUGAAUAAAAAUAGGAUGAAGUUCAAAUUUAAAAUCUCCGUUGUGGAAAAUAAACCGUGUUAAAGCCUUUUUUAAAGUAGGUAGGUCCCGUCUGGUACUCCCUUCUAGAAAUCACGAGAAAAAUUUUCUCAGUUGUUUUUUAUAUUUCUAAAACUCUUUAUCUCAUUAAAUUUUCGAUGAUGCAAUUUUUCUAAAACUCGGACUUAUGAUGAAAUUUAAUUUUCUAAUGUGGAUAACACCACUUAAGACACUGUUGGUGCACAAGACCCUCUUGGCGUACAGUUUUCAGAGAAUCUCGCUCUAACGCCGCAAAGCACUUCUGGCUAUCAAUGGCGAAUUUUACAGAGCAUUUCUCUUAUCAAAUCUGCCAAGCAUAUAUGCUUUACACUUGCUUAAGCUGAAAUAAUUACCCAGAGAGAACCCAUAAAUUUUCAUUAAGAGUCCAAGGAAAGGGAAUCAUGGGGCAAAGAAAAUGCCAUGGAUAGAAGAGUUCGAGAAAUAUAAUAUUAACAAAAGAUAAAACUUACAUCACAACGCUAGAAGGUUUCCCUUCUGGGACUUCCCGGGGGGGAAGAAAGGACUUGUUUGUACAGACUCCUUAUUCCAGAUUGCAGUUGAUAAAAAGAAAUUUACAGGAAGGACGGGAAAAUAAAAGCCAUAGGAAAUAUUUGUGGAGCUAGGAUGCUAUAUCUAAUAGGAGGCGUGCUUCAUUCUUCACUUGUCGUCGAAAGGAUCUUUCUUUAAGCUUCAGGGAUUUUUUACAUGAGGCAGUGGGAAUUUGGGAGUAUGGCUCUUUGCUCUGGAUGCGUUGAACCAUGCUUUGAGGGAAGGAGGGAGGCCUCUUUUUAUAGGGAAAAGAGGAGGCGGCUUUGGUGGAGAAAAAUCGCGGCGGCACCUGGAAUUCUUCAAAACUGCGGCUGUCUAGGUUUUGGUAAGUGACGUAAUGAUGACGCGGGGCCCAUAGGUUUUUCAAAAAAAACCUGAGGCGGAGAUGGUUUUGCUGUGGAUGGCAUCAUUGGCGGGGCCCUUUGAAAUUCUAUGGAUUUGGUGCAUGAACGUUGUCCACGUGUUGUUCCAUUAGUCGUCCAAAUGGAGGCCACGUGUGGGGCUUGUUUUGGAGACCACGUGUUGAUUCGUCAGGAGGUCAAAAUUUGUAGUGGUCUGAAAUUUGGAAAGAUGGAUUUUCUGAAAUGGUGGUGUCUGUUUGGGAACAAACUUUUGGAACCUUGGUUCUUUGGUGGUGGAGUUGGAUCACAAGGUGAUUAGCGAAAAAUUAAAGUCCUACAUUAAAAAAAACCCUUAUUUUUGCCUGUGAAAAAAACACAGCGGGUUAAAUCUUUUUUCUUUUUUCUUUUUCUGAUUUUUUCUUUCUUUUCUUGAUUUUUUCUUUUUUCUUUUUCCAAUUUUUCUUUGGUUUUUUCAUUUCCAGAUUCUUUCUUCUUCUUUGAUAUUUCCAUUUUUCUCUGGAAAUUCUUUUUUUUUUUUUUUUUAGCAGUGUCCUAAUAUGUGGACUAUAUGAAAAGGCGCAACUAAAAAACAGAUGCAGAACUGAAAUCAAUAUGUACAAAUAUGUACAAAAUAUCAGAACCAGGUGGUUAAGCAUUUUCUCCUAAACUGCUGAUUUUGGGAGAAGAUGCUUCUAGUAUCAUGGGAUCUUCCUGUUUUUCUUCUGUGUUUCCUAUACUAGGGUGUGGUAAUGGUUCUGAAGACGGUUCAGUUUUUGGUAAUGGUCUGGCAAUUGGUAGUGGAUGUUUUUUGGAGGAAAUUUUUUGUAGUGGAAAAGGUGCUGAUGAUAAAGGAAGUGGUUUUAUUGAGGUGGAGGGAUGGACUACUGGGAUUAGUGAGUUUUGAAAAGGUGUAUUUAUGUUGGUAAUAGGAGGAAAGACCAAACUCGGUGUUAUUGUCAUUAUAGGAGGAUACUUUGGAAGAGGAGAAGAGGGAGAUUGAGAUAGAGAUACAAUACCUUGUCCUGAAGGAUGCUUGAGGUCUCUGAUCUGCUGUUCUAGGAUUGCAAUUCUUUGGAGAUUUUUCUGAUCCUUUGUUCGUAAUUCAUCACAAAUGAUAUUCAGCUUUUGAAGCUUUGUUGCCAUUGUUGAGCAGUUGUCACAGAAACUAUUUUUCUCAGGAUUGUGGGUGGAUGUAGAGGCUUGAGUAUGUGGGGAGGAGCGAAUAUUGGGAGAAGUAAAAAAGUUUGGACCAAAGUGAGUGCGAGCAGUGUCUAAGGCUUCAGAGAUAGAAUGAAAACCUUUGUAGAGAGGAAAAGAUAUAUAUAUAUAUAUAUAUAUAUAUAUAUAUAUAUAUAUAUAUAUAUAUAUAUAUAGAUUACUAUUUUAGUUUUAGAAACCUUAGAAUAUCAUAUAAAAGGAAAAAAUGGCAUUAGGUUGUAACAUAAAAUUCUAGUAAGUUUAUAUUGAUAAUCUAAAUUAUAGUCUUGAAGAUUAAGCUUGUCCCAAAUAUUUUGCUGGCAAAUAUCUUCCCAGUUAUCAUUGUCUGUAAUUCCUUCAAGUGGAUAACCAAAUAAUACUCUAAUGUCUCUAAUAAUGCUGUUUUGGUCUUGUAUAUCAUAAUAUUGAAGUUUUAGUUCAUCUCGAAAAUAUUGCUUGUAAUAAUUUUCCCAUUCGCAUUCAGGGUAAUGACAGAUGCCAGAAAACCAAAGUUGCAAACCGAAAUUGUCUUGAAUUCUGUCUAACCAUAAUUGUUUAUCUUGUGAAUUUUCUAAUCUUUUAUGAAGGGAUUGUCUGUUAUAUUCUUUACAUGCUGCUUCUAAGGCGUCUUCGCCUAAAUAUUUAAAGUCGUAAAGGAUAAUGUGGAAGGGCAUAACCGCAAAUGGGUCUUCGAAUAACCUGUGUAUGUCUUGGAUUAUGUCAUCAAGAGAUUCUUCAGAUGGUUUAAGGGAAAAGUUGUUGGUAAUCGGGCAAUAUUGUGGAUCCAUGUCUUUGUCUUUAUUUGAGCCUAAAAUGUCUGGACCAAUAUACAUUAUGUUAAUAUUAUUAUGUCUACAAUAGAGAAAAUUCUUUUAAAUGAAUAAUCUCCAGAUAUCAGAUAAAAUAUUAUCUAAAGGUUCUUCAAAUAGUCUCCAUAUGUCUAUGAGGAUAUUGUCUUGAAAGCAUAAUUCACAGAGGAUUUGGCUGAAUUCAGAUAUUUUAAAAUCUUCAUUUUCUUCUGGGAUAGUUUCUAAAAUAAAAAACAUUCUUUGAGUCAUGGGUCAUAUAUCUUUCGUCAUUGUCUUCUGUUUCCAAUGUGUCUUCUUCGUCCCUUUGUCUGUUUUCUUCUAUGGCGCGGAACCACCAUAUGUCUACUUCAUUUUGAUCAGCCAUAGUAUUGAAAAAGUCUGGAUCAGUAGAUUCUGGGAGUUCGUCGUCAUAAGUCUUGGGAACCAUUUUUAUAAGAACUUGUACUUCUGAAAUGUUCAAAGUUAAAGGGGUUUAUUAGUAGAACUGAGAGUCUGAUUUUUUGAUGUACUAGGAGUGUUAGGAGAUCUAGGUUCUGGUGAAGUUAAAUAGCGUGGGAUUUGUCUGUGAAAGUUCCAUGGUUGGAUAACUUUCUUUGGAAGAGUAUCCUUUGAGUGUUCUUGAAAUUGGAGUGCAGAAAAAUGUUUUGUUACUUCUUGUAUAAUAGGAGUUGUGUCUAUAGUAGGAGUAAUACUUUCAACUUGUCUUUGUUGUAGUACCAAAUUUUCUAAUGUAUGUAUUCUGCUGUGUAAUCCUAAUAAUAGUUGGAUAAUAGUAUUUUUUUGUUUAAUUAUAACUUGUUCAGAUAUGGCUUGUGGGAGAUGAGAUGAAAAACCUAUAGAAGUUUUGUCAGAACUAUAAGAUUGUACUUUUGAUAAAGUCUUAUGUAAAAUUUCAGCUUCAAGGUGCUCGGGAUUAGUCAUCCAAGAGAAAUUUGUUUAAUCUCAGCUAACCUUUGAAGGCUCGAAUGUAAAUCUUGUUCAAUUUUUAGUAGUUUUUGUUCUAUCCUUUGAGGCCUUGCUUCUAGUUGGCUUAGCCUGAAGUCGAUAUUAGAAAGUCUUUGUUCUAUUAAAGUGUUCUGGGUUUUAAUAUAAUCUAGGUUUCUCGAAAUUUUGUCUAGUAAUUCCGUUUGUGUCCUAAUUGUCUGAUCGAGUCUAAGUACGAGUUGUUGAAGAGUCCUUAGUGGAUCUAUCUUGGAUAUUUUUAUAAAAACCAAAAGUAAAAGUAUGAAGUUCACUUGUGAGAUGAUAAAUAAUAAAGGGAUAGGGGAGGUCUAAGUUUAAUAAGGAUUUAUCAUAUAAAGUUAGAAACGCAAAUAAUAAAAGGGCUUUGUGUCUUUUUGUUUUUCUUCUGAUUCUAGCCGUAGUUGUAAAUUUAAAAGGAACAAGUAUGAUUUGGAGAAGAUUCUUUAACUAAUUUAUUAAGUAAGUCUAUCUGNAGAAGAAGAUUUUUGGAAGUUACAGUCGAAGACGCCUUUGACGUAGAUGCUUCCACUUUUACUUCCAUUAACAAUCCUGUUUACGCUAAUCAUCCUAUUGGAACUUUAGUACAUUUUCGUGUUUUAAAAACUUUUUACAUUGAAACUCAUAGAUAUCUAGACCUACUUUUUUGCAUUAUACUUACUCUAGAUAAAGAACAUAUACACUACCCCCAUCUAUUUGAUAUUCUUUCCAGACAACCUCCUCGGCCUCCACGAAGGUUUUAAUGUUAAUACCAUCCCUUUUUCUUCUGAUUCUAGCCGUAGUUGUAAAUUUAAAAGGAACAAGUAUGAUUUGGAGAAGAUUCUUUAACUAAUUUAUUAAGUAAGUCUAUCUGAGAUUUGGUAUUCUUCUCAAUGAUUACUAAAAUUUGUUGGAUGCUGAAAAGGAUGAUUAAAAUGCUUAGAAGAAAAAGGGAUGGUAUUAACAUUAAAACCUUCGUGGAGGCCGAGGAGGUUGUCUGGAAAGAAUAUCAAAUAGAUGGGGGUAGUGUAUAUGUUCUUUAUCUAGAGUAAGUAUAAUGCAAAAAAGUAGGUCUAGAUAUCUAUGAGUUUCAAUGUAAAAAGUUUUUAAAACACGAAAAUGUACUAAAGUUCCAAUAGGAUGAUUAGCGUAAACAGGAUUGUUAAUGGAAGUAAAAGUGGAAGCAUCUACGUCAAAGGCGUCUUCGACUGUAACUUCCAAAAAUCUUCUUCUUCCAAUAUGAACGAUGUUGUAUCUCCAGUUAAAUUGUCUUGGGCUUGUGGUAUUUUCACUAUAGUCUGAACUACUAGUCUCUUCUUGUUCGUAAUCCCUUAGGAUUUCGUCACUAUUGUUAUUGUCUUCAAAUUGUCUGGGGUUUUCGUUGCCGUUAUUAUUGGCUUCGUAUUCUUCGUAAUCUGGUAAAAAUUCUUCUUCGUCUGGAUUAGCCAGUGUAUUUGUUAUUGUCGAAAGAUUUGAAAUACAAGAAAAGGGUCCACGUCCCAAAGCUGAUAUAUAAGUUGUAUGAAGUUAAUUAUAAGAUGGAGUGGAACUCCUAAAGUUAAGGAAUCUAUAAUAAAAGUUUCUAUAUAAUAGGGAGUAUAGAGAAAGUCUAGAAUUGGUUCAAUGAGAUAAUAUAAACACACCAAAAGGAAUCUAAAUAUAGAUUCGUUUAAUAAAAAUAAUGCUAUGUCUUUAUCCAGUUUUGAGAGUGUUAAGUAAUAAUUUUAAAAUUAUUGUUUUCUUCCUAUAUAUUGAAAGGGCCAAGUAAUAAGGUAAGGGUCAAAAGUUUCCCAAUAUAUUAUUAAUAUGUCUAGAAUAUUGUAUAUGAUGUCUUCUGGAAAUCUUAACAGAAAUAAGGUUAAGGUAAAAGUUGUUAGGGAAAAAGGUUGGUUUGUGAUGUUACAGAAAAGUUGAUCUGUAGUGUUAUCUAAAGCUUUUCUUUUUGGCAUAAAUAUCAAUAAUGUGGUGGUAUUGAGGAAAAAUCUAAGAAGAUUCACUAUUAUCAAUAAUGUGGUUGUGUCUAGAAAGACUUAUCUCCUUUUCUUUUCUCAGUCUUGCUUUAAAAAGGAAAUCGUGGCUGUUGAAUUGUUUGAAAGAAGGAAAUGGUAUAGCUAAGUGCUAAAGCUAAAUGUUUUAAUAUAGGUAUGUAAAAAUAUUUCGUGACCAAGAAAGUAAAGUCUAUAACCAAACCUUUCUAUAACCAAGAAAGUCUUAUAUGAUAAUCUGAAAAAAUGUCUUACUAAAAGUUUAUGACCAAGAAAGUCUUAGCUCUAAGGUAUGACUAAGAAAGUCUUAGCUCUGAUACCAAGGAGGGAGAGGAGAGGGGCUAGGUUUUUAGACUUGGCUAGUUCCAAGUUUAAGGUUUUAGGUUUAGGGUUUAGGGUUUAGAAGAAGGUGCAGAGACGAUUUUAAACACAAACUACAAGUCUUUUAGAAUAAAAACCCUGUGAGAAUUUUAGAAAAUAAAAUCCUA
This 8217-nucleotide long non-coding RNA is filed under the name Ananas comosus (pineapple). Its description in RNAcentral is "long non-coding RNA (ACOM_LNC018180)". Lineage: Eukaryota; Viridiplantae; Streptophyta; Magnoliopsida; Poales; Bromeliaceae. The record is from RNAcentral.